UACAGAGGGUGCGAGCGUUAAUCGGAAUUACUGGGCGUAAAGCGUGCGUAGACGGUUAUGUAAGUCGGAUGUGAAAGCCCCGGGCUUAACCUGGGAAUUGCAUUCGAGACUGCAUAGCUAGGAUGCGGAAGAGGGAAGUGGAAUUUCCGGUGUAGCAGUGAAAUGCGUAGAUAUCGUAAGGAAGACCAGUGGCGAAGGCGAGUUCCUGGACAGUUACUGACACUGAGGCACGAAGGCCAGGGGAGCAAACGGG
This 253-nucleotide ribosomal RNA is filed under the name uncultured bacterium. Its description in RNAcentral is "partial 16S ribosomal RNA". It matches the Rfam family "Bacterial small subunit ribosomal RNA", at positions 524 to 776 of the family's 1533-position model. The record is from RNAcentral.